ACUCCUACGGGAGGCAGCAGUGGGGAAUAUUGCACAAUGGGCGCAAGCCUGAUGCAGCCAUGCCGCGUGUAUGAAGAAGGCCUUCGGGUUGUAAAGUACUUUCAGCAGUGAGGAAGGCGGUACGUUAAUAGCGUGCUUCGUUUGACGUUAGCUGCAGAAGAAGCACCGGCUAACUCCGUGCCAGCAGCCGCGGUAAUACGGAGGGUGCGAGCGUUAAUCGGAAUUACU
This 228-nucleotide ribosomal RNA is filed under the name uncultured bacterium. RNAcentral's name for it is "partial 16S ribosomal RNA". It matches the Rfam family "Bacterial small subunit ribosomal RNA", at positions 335 to 555 of the family's 1533-position model. The record is from RNAcentral.